This is a non-coding RNA of Cyanistes caeruleus (blue tit), 1353 nucleotides long. Lineage: Eukaryota; Metazoa; Chordata; Aves; Passeriformes; Paridae. The record is from RefSeq and is a predicted model, not a curated record.
AAGUUUCAACGAAGUAUUUUUUUUUGUUUGUUUUAUUCCAAUACAAUGUUUUCUUAUGUGCUUUGGUUAGGCUUAUUAGGACAUGUAAGAAAAACAAAAUGUCACUUAUUUUAAAGGUCAUGUGCAUUCUGCCAACUAUGCACAUUGCUGGUAAGCCAGGUAUCUCCAGGAGAGGGCUUAUGAAGGUGGCUUGAAAGUGUCUGGGAUUUAAAAGCCACGCAGAGUAGAAACUCAUAAAAUAUAUUAUUUAUGCAGAGAGAGUUCUUUGAGUGUAGAAAAAACGUCUCUGGGGCUCACAAAGAAAGGUAGCAAACUAUAAAAAAUAUUUUUAAUUUGCUUAGGAUGUAAUUCUUCAUGUAAUAUAUGCAGUGCCUGCAAAGUGCAGCAUCCAACUCUGUAAUAGAAGUACCUCAAGCUUGAACUUGAACUUAAUUUGGUCCAAAGUAAUUUAGCCAAGUUGAACCAUACAUAAGUCACUCAUACAUUUUUUUUUAAUUUACAGUGUAAAGUUUAAGAAUAUUUUGCUGUGAUAGCAGAGUUGAAUGUGUGCAGUAAUAGAGGGACUUUUGUGCAAAUUAACUUUAUAUUUAUAGCUUACUGACCUUCAACUAACUUUUUUUUUUCCAAUUUGCAUUCUUAGAUUGCUGCAACAGAAAAUCACCUUUAUAAACAGAAAUAAUAUAAUUAACACUUCUGAUUAAAAGUUUGUGGAGUCCUAGUAGACACAAUGCUGUCAGUUUAAAAGUGCUGGGCUGUUGGACCCUCAUGUGACAAUGGGACACAAGGCCUUGCUGGAAAACGAGUGUGCAUGAGGAAUGACUUGACCACAUUAUGAAGCCUGGGAGAUUACACACAAACGAAUAUAUAUGUCAAGUGCACAGAGGAGAGAAUAAGGCCCUAAAAAUCACUUCCUUUUAACUCCAGCAAUGUUACAGGGUUCAUCAGAGAUAAUCAGGAUAGACUGGUGCAGUCAUUGGUGUUCUUCCCAGGGGAGUUCAUUUCCACACUGCUGUAGUCCAUGGCCAUGUAAGUGUCCGAGUCCCCUCUGUGAGUGUCAGCUCCUCUUGAGGAACAGCCAUCCCAGGAAAGUGCAGUGGGAAGUACACCUCUGUCCCCUAGGUCAGAACUGCUGCUGACACAUUCUGGGGCACCUGGCUGGGUUUUUUCUGACUGUAUCCAGCUAAUGUACCAGAAUGUGUACACAGUAGCCUCUUAAAUCUAGUGUACUCUCAAGAGACAAGAUCCUGUUAUAAAUUCUCACUAGUAGAGAAAAAAUGCGGUGCUAGGAGCACAGUGCUUUUCCUCAAGCUUCUCAGAAAACAUUUUGUAAUUAAUUUUAGCACUGACAGACCA